AUUGAACGCUGGCGGCAUGCCUAACACAUGCAAGUCGAGCGGAUGAAGGGAGCUUUCUCCUGGUUUCAGCGUCGGACGGGUGUGUAAUGCCUAGGAAUCUGCCUGGUAGUGGUGUAUAACGUCUUGAAACGGGCGCUAAUACUGCAUACGUCCUGAUGGAGAUGGUGGGGGGUCUUUGGACCUCAUGCUAGCAUAUGAGCCUAGGUCGGACUAGCUAGUUGGUGGGUUAAAGGCCUACCAAGCCGACGAUCCGUAACUGGUCUGAGAGGAUGAGAAGUCACACGGGAACUGAGACACGGACCAGAGUACUAAGGGAGGGAGCAGUGGGGAAUAUUGGACAGCAGGCGAAAGCCUGGUACAACGAUGCCGAGUGUGUGAAGACGGUGUUCGGAUUGUAAAGACCGUUAAGUUGGGAGGAAGGGCAGUAAGUUAAUACCUUGCUGUUUUGACGUUAAUAAGAGAAUAAGCACCGGCUAACUUCGUG
This 484-nucleotide ribosomal RNA is filed under the name uncultured bacterium. RNAcentral's name for it is "partial 16S ribosomal RNA". It matches the Rfam family "Bacterial small subunit ribosomal RNA", at positions 30 to 507 of the family's 1533-position model. The record is from RNAcentral.